This 444-nucleotide long non-coding RNA is filed under the name Astyanax mexicanus (Mexican tetra). Its description in RNAcentral is "lncRNA (ENSAMXG00005022697.1)". The record is from RNAcentral. Lineage: Eukaryota; Metazoa; Chordata; Actinopteri; Characiformes; Acestrorhamphidae.
AUGCUGGAGACAGGCAAAGAAAUGGCCUAUCAUCAAGUCAUGAACAUGUUCUCCAAAACGAAGAAAGUGAUAGAACUUGUCCGAGCUAACCGACCUCAGAGGAAAACAAUUCAGGCCUACAUCACUGACCCUGCCAGAACUAACCCUUUACUUGGCCUGAACUUCCUUCUUGAGUUCUCUUGUCCGGACAGUGAGUGGCAUUGUGGGUAUCUCUGUACACUGUGCAGGCAGAAAGUAUCAGCCAUCGACUGCAUCUCUCAUUGCAUCAGCUUUGAUCAUAUUUAUUGGUACAUGGAAGCUGCUCACCCAGCAACACUGCAAUGCCCUAAGAGUAGUUAUACUAACUACUCUUUCAGUUUCAACCAGAAGAUCCUUUACUUUGCCAAUCAAGCACAGAAACAUCACCCUCCUGGAAUAGUAGAGGUGGUAUUCUUCUCUUGCUGA